Molecule: long non-coding RNA, 768 nt
Filed under: Rattus norvegicus (Norway rat)
Lineage: Eukaryota; Metazoa; Chordata; Mammalia; Rodentia; Muridae
Description: long non-coding RNA NONRATT003184
Source: RNAcentral
GAGCUGGGGCGUGCGCAGUCGGUGGCGCCGUUGCAGUCCAGCAUGCGGUUUUGGGGUAUGGUUCUCUGGGGAGAGUCAGGAACCUGGAUGGAGAAAGCGUCUAAGGUCCCUUUGCCCCUUGUUUAUGUGAACGGAGAGGACCGCAGCCUGUGACGGUUUCAGAAGCGUUUCAUUCGCGUGAAAGGAAACAAGCUCAAAGGCUGGAGGUUGAGCAUGGUUUCCCUAGCCCAACCCAGUGCACUUGACAGACUGUACGAAGAACAGUCAACAACAACAACAAAAAGAAAGUUCUCCAACGAAGCCUUAGGGUUUCCAGAGGACUCACAGAAACCGCUGGUGUAUACCCAUUCCCUUCUCGCUGUGAGCCUGUAGCUAUGGGAACUGCAGCCAAGUACACAAUAACACCUCCAUGAGCAAAUCCUCGGGGGAACAAAGUUCAUUUUAAUACAGCUGGCCUAACCACAGAAGAAUCUGGGGGACUCUCCAGGCUUGGCAGCGUUGUGCUGCUUCCUGGCUUCACGCUUCCUCUGGAGGAGGAGAGAGAGGAGCUACAGCAGGGCUCCCAGGCUGGCUUCGAACUCCUGAUGCUCAGGCCUCCAUCUCUUGAGUGCUGGGGUUACCGGACAGCACCGCCAGAUUGAGGAUGCGCCUGAGUUCCUGGCUCCGUGUCUUAUGCUGUUUCAGCAGGCACUCCACAGAGGCCCAGACCCCUCUGCUCCCCAUGGGCAGCUGCCAGGCAGGGCACAACUUGCAUCUCUGUCUGGCUCA